Molecule: long non-coding RNA, 1404 nt
Organism: Bos taurus (domestic cattle)
Lineage: Eukaryota; Metazoa; Chordata; Mammalia; Artiodactyla; Bovidae
Source: Ensembl
AAUCUAGGCCCUUAAAUCUAUUUUUCACCUCCACUGUAUAAUCAUAAGGGAUUUGAUUUAGGUCAUACCUGAAUGAUCUAGUGGUUUUCCCUACUUUCUUAAUUUAAGUCUGAAUUUGGCAAUAAGGAGUUCAUGAUCUGAGCCACAGUCAGCUCCUGGUCUUGUUUUUGCUGACUGUAUAGAGCUUCUCCAUCUUUGGCUGCAAAGAAUAUAAUCAAUCUGAUUUCAGCACAGAGCUACCCAAAAAACAUUGGUUCCUUCCACUCAUAACUUUUCCUUUUCUUUGUAGUCUUUGUGUGAAGAAGAGUGACCAUGAAUUAGAAUCAGAGGGAGAUGCCAUUCCUCAAUUCUGUGGGUGUUUGGCUAAGGUGAAAGCAUUUGAUUGAAAGUAGUUAGAGCCUGGCGGGCUGCAGUCCAUGGGGUCGCAAAAGAGUCAGACAUGACUUAGCAGCUGAACAACAACUGUUCAAAUGGAGGAGAGACCCUCACAGGAUAAAGGCACACUAUUCCAAGAGAGAUGCAAUGGGCCCAGCAGAAAUGGCAAUUAAUCAUCAAAAUCUUGCUCUGCCACUUCUAGUGAGUCCAGACUGCUGGGGAUGAGGGUAGGAAAAAGUGCAGAAGUGUCCCCAGAAGCACACCAUGAAUGUACUUAAUGCCACUAAACUGGAUGCAAAAAAUAGUCAUGAUGAUCAAUUUCAUGUUAUGUGUAUUUUAUCACAACUUUUUUUUAAAAAAGCAUCACUAGUGAUUUCCUGAGGAUUUUAUUCCAGAUUGGAAAAAAAUAAAUGCAAUUAAUGCAUUAAACUAAGAAAGACGUCCAUCUGGGAUUUAUUUGUUAAUAACAACCAAGGCAUCCUUAACUAAGCUGAACUCAGCAAAGAGAAAAAAGCGCUGUGAAAUUUGAAAGGCCAAUGAGAGAAGGAAGAGUUGUUAAAUUCCAAAGAUUCCAAACCACCUUUCAGAUCCCCUUGAUUUAGGAUCUGAGGCACACACAACCCUGCAUGUUGGAUUUUCCUGGACCAGGGAUUGAAUCCACAGCUCCUGCAUCAGCAGACGGAUUCUUCACCACUGAGCCACCAGGGAAGCCCCACUCUUGUUGUCCAGCCACUCAGUCAUGUCUGACUCUGCAACCCCAUGGACUGCAGCACCCCAGGCUUCCUUGUCCUUCAGUAUCUCCUGGACUUUGCUCAAACUCAUGUCCAUUGAAAUCAGUGAUGCCAUCCAAACAUCUCAUUCUCUGUUGCCCCCUUCUCCACUUGCUCUCAAUCUUUCCCAGCAUCAGGGUCUUUUCCAAUGAGUCAGCUCUUUGCAUUAAGUGGCCAAAGUAUUAGAGCUUCAGCACUGGUUCUUCCAAUGAAUAUUCAGGGUCAAUUGCCUUUAGGAUUGACCGCUUUUAAAUAAAAG